This 333-nucleotide unclassified non-coding RNA is filed under the name Hevea brasiliensis (rubber tree). Lineage: Eukaryota; Viridiplantae; Streptophyta; Magnoliopsida; Malpighiales; Euphorbiaceae. The record is from RNAcentral.
GGGGGAGAGGGAUAUUUCCCGAUCAACAAAAGAUCAAAAACUGUGAAAUUACCCAUGUUCAAUUUCAGCAAGAAACAAGCAUGAAACUUGGUGUGCUCAGGUUUCCCAAAAUAAUUAAACAUAAAAAAACUUUGAUUUUUAAGGAAAAUUUCCGUUAAUAUAAAUUUCCUUGUUGAAAAACAAAUCAUAAAAGAAAACAGUUAGCAGAAAGGGAGGAGAAAAGAAAGAAGGAGAAAAAGAAAAAUAUGUUCCGAAGAAUCCAAUUCACUACCAGAGGGAGAGAAAGAGAGAGAAACAGAGAGAUCAGUUGAGAGAGAAAAGGGGUUAUGGGAU